RNAcentral lists this unclassified non-coding RNA (166 nucleotides) under uncultured Rozellomycota. RNAcentral describes it as "uncultured Cryptomycota sequence contains ITS1". The record is from RNAcentral. Lineage: Eukaryota; Fungi; Rozellomycota.
CAAAUCAUGGGUGGUGGGAGAGUGGGAGAGGGAGGAUGGGUGUGCGGCUCUGCUGCGUGCUCUCCUGUCCUCUGCCCGCCUGCCGCCGACAUUUGGUCGGGAUGCGAGUCCCGGAUCAUAUUCACGCUUGUGCUGUUUGACAGAGUAACACUAAGUUUAAUUAUGA